RNAcentral lists this antisense RNA (1723 nucleotides) under Pan troglodytes (chimpanzee). The stretch from base 1372 to 1550 matches the Rfam family "HOXA11 antisense RNA 1 conserved region 6". The record is from RNAcentral. Lineage: Eukaryota; Metazoa; Chordata; Mammalia; Primates; Hominidae.
GUCGGAGGAGGCGAGGUUUUCCGGGGUGCCGUAGGCUGUCUCGAAAAACUGGUCGAAAGCCUGUGGCAGGACGCCGUUCCUGCCCACGGUGCUAUAGAAAUUGGACGAGACUGCGGGGGUGGGGUGGUGGUAGACGUUGGCCGAGCUCUUGGCCAGCACGUCGCCAGGCACGCCGGCCGCGCUGGGCGCCUGCAGGCAGUCUCUGUGCACGAGUUCCUCCGCGGAGUAGCAGUGGGCCAGAUUGCCGCGGGGGUGCCAUUUAGUGGCGGGCUCAAUGGCGUACUCUCUGAAGGUCACUUCGCGCACGGGUUGGACCUGGGGCAGGUUGGAGGAGUAGGAGUAUGUCAUUGGGCGCGAAGACGGGGUCUGGGGCAGAAAAGAAGGGAGGCUGGAGAAAUCUGGACCCGAGACGUAGUAAGUACAACUUGGCAAAUACAUGUUAGAGGAGCAGGGACCACGCUCAUCAAAAUCCAUUAUUGGGCUACCUUGGGCUCUCCGCAGUAGCCGAGCUUAACAUGAUUCUCCACUGCAGCUGCCUCUUUGAAGCGGAUCCGUGAAGUAGAAAUUUGGAGACCCACCUCAGGGGAAGCAACAGAUCGUCACUCGGUGUUCUCACCGAAAGCACGUAAUCGCCGGUGUAACUCAUGUUGGCUGGGGGGCCUCCCGGCGCGCGCGGAGAGGCUGGGGUGCGCCCCCAUGCAGCAUGCUUGUGCUCAAUUGCAGGGUCCUCGUUCUCGAGUGUGCAGAGGGCGGUGAGAGCUCAACUCUCGUCCCCACCUCCCACCCGCAGCUCCCCGGACUUGCUCUGGGAAGCGCCUCUGCCUCCGACCCUAGCCGGAACCCCUUCGGGGCCAGAGUUUGAAGCCGUGGAUGUGCCUGCCUGGUGGCUUGUCCGAUUUGCACGGUGACUUGAUUACACUCUCUCAUUCAUGGUCACUUCCGAAGCGCUUUAGUGCCUUCCGUCCCUAAACCGCCAACAGCCAGAACGGCUUCUCCCCGCGUGACUCGGCAGAGACAGAGGCACAGGGGCUGCCCUGCUGCUCACCGGUCCACCCAUCUGCCUGGUCUUCUGGAGCUGAGGACUCGGGAAACCAUGCAAUUGAGGCAAGCCUUGGGCUGCUUUAGAGGCGCUGACAUCCGAGGAGACUUCUCCUGGGAGGUCCAACAGCCGAGCUUAGCCCACCGGGCUCUGGGAAAGACCCGACUGAGGCUAAAGCCGCCCCGGAAGGCCAAGUCCGAGUUCCAUUUCUUGAAGAGGCCGGCGCGCGUAAGGCUGUGACAUUGGCCCUGGCGACUGGCUUCCCAGGAGCUGUUCUUUCUCAGGAGCUCCACAGCGCGGGCCAUCUCCAGAAAACUGUCUUCAGAGUGUAUUUCCUUUUAUCGUCAACCCAGAGCCCCACCGCGGCUAAUGCAAGAGGCCAAAAAAUGUUUGGAGGAAGAAAAACAAAGGCAGGAAGUGGCGGCCGCCUGACGGUGCGUGUGUGUCUGCAGAGAAGGGAGGGAGCCGGCUCAGUCUCUUCUUGUUUUUCCAAACUUCAAGGUCCAGGCAGCCCUCUGCAGGGCCGGGCCCCAUUGCUCCCCGCGCGGCAUUGGAGGUGGCCACCCGGAGAGGAGAAGGCCAACGCCUGCGCCAGGCUUGUCAGGCGGAAACGGCUAACAAGGAGAUUUGGUCAGCAAAACAGACCGAGCCUUUCCGAGGCUUCGUCUGACUUGGCCCGAAAGG